CAAAAAAGGGGGAUUGACAAAACACCAAGUUGUCUAUUCUGUUCCAAAGAUGAGAGUGUCCAACACCUUUUCUUUGAGUGUGUGGUUGCUAAGGCAACGUGGAACCAUGUUAAGGAUUUCUUUAAACUCCCUCUUGGGACAAACAACCUUUCUAUUGCUAAAUACCGGCCAACUAGUAAAAAUCAUUCUGCAUUAAACUCCAUUUGCGUCUGUGUCUUAUGGUGCCUGUGGAAAACUAGGAAUGCACUUGUUUUUAACAAUGCCAUCUGGUCUGAUACUAAACAGGUCCGGUAUUUGAUUCUUACAACCCUGAAGAAAUGGAGAAUUCUCUUCAAACAUCAAGAGGAGAGGGUGGAUGCUUCUCGAGAAUGCUUUCGGAGCAGAUAA
Molecule: ribosomal RNA, 387 nt
Filed under: Triticum aestivum (bread wheat)
Lineage: Eukaryota; Viridiplantae; Streptophyta; Magnoliopsida; Poales; Poaceae
Description: partial small subunit ribosomal RNA
Source: RNAcentral